UGAGAGUAGACUUAUUGGUCUGUAA
RNAcentral lists this non-coding RNA (25 nucleotides) under Drosophila melanogaster (fruit fly). Lineage: Eukaryota; Metazoa; Arthropoda; Insecta; Diptera; Drosophilidae. The record is from RNAcentral.